RNAcentral lists this ribosomal RNA (384 nucleotides) under uncultured bacterium. Its description in RNAcentral is "bacterial SSU rRNA". It matches the Rfam family "Bacterial small subunit ribosomal RNA", at positions 335 to 704 of the family's 1533-position model. The record is from RNAcentral.
ACUCCUACGGGAGGCAGCAGUGGGGAAUAUUGCACAAUGGGGGAAACCCUGAUGCAGCCAUGCCGCGUGUGUGAAGAAGGCCUUCGGUUGUAAAGACACUUUCUAGUAGGGAGGAAGGUAGUGUAGUUAACACCUGCAUUAUUUGUACGUUACCUACAGAAGAAGCACCGGCUAACUCCGUGCCAGCAGCCGCCGGUAAGUACGGAGGGUGCGAGCGUUAAUACGGAAUUACGUGGGCGUAAAGCGCAUGCGAGGCGGCCUGUUAAGUCAGAUGUGAAACGCCCGGGGCUUAACCUCGGAAUUGCAUUUGAAACUGGCAGGCUAGAGUCUUGUAGAGGGGUUAGAAUUUCAGGUGUAGCGGUGAAAUGCGUAGAGAUCUGAAGG